Molecule: ribosomal RNA, 325 nt
Filed under: uncultured Nitrospirota bacterium
Lineage: Bacteria; Pseudomonadati; Nitrospirota
Description: bacterial SSU rRNA
Rfam family: Bacterial small subunit ribosomal RNA
Source: RNAcentral
AGUGAACGCUGGCGGCGUGCCUAACACAUGCAAGUCGAGCGGCCAUCGGGUAGCAAUACUUGGUGGUAGCGGCGAACGGGUGAGUAACACGUGGGUAAUCUUCCCUCGAGUGAGGAAUAAGCUCUCGAAAGGGGGUCUAAUACCGCAUAAUAUUCCGGGACUUAUGUCUUCGGAAUCAAAGUCGUAAGACGCUUGAGGAUGAGCCUGCGGCCUAUUAGCUUGUUGGUAGGGUAAUGGCCUACCAAGGCUAGGAUGGGUAGCCGGCCUGAGAGGGUGAACGGCCACACUGGGACUGAGACACGGCCCAGACUCCUACGGGUGGCAG